UACAGAGGGUGCAAGCGUUAAUCGGAAUUACUGGGCGUAAAGCGUGCGCAGGCUGUUUUGUAAGUCAGAUGUGAAAUCCCCGAGCUCAACUUGGGUACUGCGUUUGAAACUACAAGACUAGAAUAUGUCAGAGGGGGGUAGAAUUCCACGUGUAGCAGCGAAAUGCGUAGAGAUGUGGAGGAAUAUCAAUGUCGAAGGCAGCCCCCUGGGAUAAUAUUGACGCUCAUGCACGAAAGCGUGGGGAGCAAAC
Molecule: ribosomal RNA, 250 nt
Filed under: uncultured bacterium
Lineage: Bacteria
Description: partial 16S ribosomal RNA
Rfam family: Bacterial small subunit ribosomal RNA
Source: RNAcentral